Molecule: long non-coding RNA, 2142 nt
Filed under: Callithrix jacchus (white-tufted-ear marmoset)
Lineage: Eukaryota; Metazoa; Chordata; Mammalia; Primates; Cebidae
Description: lncRNA (ENSCJAG00000071698.1)
Source: RNAcentral
CACAAGUCCUCCUGUGGUCACAGAUGUGCUCUGCUUUAGCUUGGCUGUCUUAUGAGUCUUGGGUGGCAUCCCUGGACAUUCGUUUCAAGCUGGGAUGGGCCGCAGAAAGCUUCUGAGGCAUUCUCGCCACCUGAUCUGCCCCAACGGGAGACCACUUUCAGGUGUGGCCACCUCUGUUGCACAGUAGGCUCGCCUCUUUGUUGUUGUUCCCACCUUAUCUGGAUAGCAGUGCUGAGAAUCAGGAGUCCCUGCGUUUGGAGACCAAGGCCGGGCCCCAUGGUGGGUGGCCCAGGUCACAGGGCAGCAGUCAGCUUAUGGAGCCAGGGAACGUCCUGCUGACACCCUCAGCAAGUGUCUCGGGUAUAUUCCGGUUUUCCAACGAAACCCAUCACACCUCAUCCAACUGAAUCUCUCGCCCCACCGGACCCUAUCGCUGCCCGCGUCACCCCAUCCGAAAUCCAAUGAAAACAGCAGUCCCGGGUGUUCAUCGCAGGGUCUGAAGUGCGCUCCUCCCCAACCCAACCCAAUAAGGAAAGCCAGCUCAAGAAGGUACUGAGGUCAGGACUGUCGGGGUCCAGCAAGGCUUGUUGCACAUAGCCCCCUUCCCAGAGCCGCCCCUGUCACCGCCUCCCCAGUGCGCCUCUGUGGCAGCAAUCGGACAGCGCCAACGUGGCCGCUCCCCAGCCGGUACGCCAAUGCGCAUGCGGAAGCAGCCUGAGGCAAGCGCCAGGGCUGACCCGGCGCUCGCGUCACAACGACCUGCCACAAUUGCUGGGGAAACGGUCUGAGCGGCUUGGGCAAGGAGAGGCCCACUGUGGCAGCGCCUCAGCAUUUGGCAAUGGUCCUCCCUCUCCGCGGGAUCAUGCCAUUGUCCCGAGGCGGAAUCAGAGUGAGAGAACGUCCGAAGUGGCUUCCAAGUUGCCCAGGGCGGUCCGCAGGAAUCCCCAGGAUGCUUCAGGCCUGCCCAGACAAUGAAAAAGUGCAUCUUGUUGAAAGCCCUUCCGGCUGGGCUUUCCAGGAAAGAGUUCUAGAGAGAGAAGACAAAGGCAGUCUGUGUUUAAAAAAAAACCCAAGGCUGAAAAUUGAAGAACUGAAUAUGCAGCUUGGAAAGCGAACUGGACACAUGGAAAAUCUUGUCAGGAAAGAGUUCUAGAGAGAGAAGACAAAGGCAGUCUGUGUUUAGAAAAAACCCAAGGCUGAAAAUUGACGAACUGAAUAUGCAGCUUGGAUAGCGAACUGGACACAAGGAAAAUCUUGUCACGUAUGUUGCAUGUUAAGUCUUUGUGUUAAGGCUCAUUUUUCCAUGUUCCUCAUUUCCUCCUCACAAAACAAAUGUGACAACCUUUGCAAGGCAGGCCCUUGCUGAAAUUUUUAUGUGGUGGAGACACUACGUCACAAACACAUUUCAUCCACUUGUUUAACUCUCACACAUGGUUAUAGUCUGCAUGUUGAUGGAAAUAAGAGUGGUAAUGUGACACAGGCCAUUUUUCUUACUUGGCAAGAAAAGUUGACAAAUUUGUCCCCUUAGACGCCAUAAAAAUAAUUUGGCCUAGACAAUUUGUACCAAGAUUAUGAUGUUGUACGUGAAAACAAUAAAAUUCCUAAGCUCUGUUAGCAUACUGUGAAAGGUGAAUUAUGUAAGCAAUGGUGAGAAGAACGAAGGUUAAUUUAUAAGAACAAUAUUGGCACUUUGUGAUUGCUGACCAAAGCAAAUGUGUGGAACGCUUCUGUGUCAUAAAAUAAAAAAGGUGAAAAGAUGUCCCAGGUAGAUUUUAGGUUUUUUUUGUUUUGCAUUUUUGUCGGUCUCGUGCUCUUUUUUUUUAGUGAGUUAUAAUCCUAAUCGGGAGUCUUAGUUGAUGCAUAUCACUGGCUCUUAUCCACAGUCCAGAUAAAAGACAUUAGAUCUCCGGGUGGGCUGUGGUGUCUGUCUGUGAACGAAAAGAGAGCUAAUGUAAAAGAGGCAGCAGAGUGUCAAAGAACCAUGGCACAAAAGUUCUUAGUCUUGUUACCGGGACUCUGUAAGGGAACCCGUUCUGAUUUCUGACAAAAAAUUGUCUUCUGAACAAGACCAGUUACAUUAACGGAGGGCACAGAAAUUUAACAUUUUAGAAAAAAAUAUAUAUUUAUAAACAAAUAUAUUAG